UAGGGAAUCUUCGGCAAUGGACGAAAGUCUGACCGAGCAACGCCGCGUGAGUGAAGAAGGUUUUCGGAUCGUAAAACUCUGUUGUUAGAGAAGAACAAGGACGUUAGUAACUGAACGUCCCCUGACGGUAUCUAACCAGAAAGCCACGGCUAACUACGUGCCAGCAGCCGCGGUAAUACGUAGGUGGCAAGCGUUGUCCGGAUUUAUUGGGCGUAAAGCGAGCGCAGGCGGUUUCUUAAGUCUGAUGUGAAAGCCCCCGGCUCAACCGGGGAGGGUCAUUGGAAACUGGGAGACUUGAGUGCAGAAGAGGGGAGUGGAACUCCAUGUGUAGCGGUGAAAUGCGUAGAUAUAUGGAGGAACACCAGUGGCGAAGGCGGAUCUCUGGUCUGUAACUGACGCUGAGGGUCGAAAGCGUGGGGAGCAAACAGG
This 429-nucleotide ribosomal RNA is filed under the name Gemmatimonadota bacterium. Its description in RNAcentral is "Gemmatimonadetes bacterium partial 16S ribosomal RNA". It matches the Rfam family "Bacterial small subunit ribosomal RNA", at positions 355 to 776 of the family's 1533-position model. Lineage: Bacteria; Pseudomonadati; Gemmatimonadota. The record is from RNAcentral.